CGAGGCUAUCUCACUCUUCCAACUUUGCUUCUGUGAGCUUUGUGAUAGCGUUUGCAAAUCCAAGAUAGGAUGCUGAAUUACCCAGUCACCCAAAUCCAGAGCAGGCAGGCUCUAUUUCAAUUCUGUGGUUCCUUGUAUGUGUGAUUAAUGGUGGAGCCCAGGCCAAAAGACAAGCAUCGGAAUGCAAAGGACCACCCACGAAGUGGCGUCUUUACUGCAUCCUGAACUGGAGACCUCUGGCUCACUACUGCUGCUGCAGUUCUGCUGAGACCAUAGAAGAAUCUCAGCACUGACCUGUCAGUGUUCCCUCUGGCCUCCAAAGUCCAGGAGAUCAGUCACACUGUCUUUGAGCUUGAGUUGAGGCCAAUGCUCAUUUUAUUCCUACUCCAUGGAGACUGUUGUCAGUGAAAGGCUAAUAGGGGACACACACAGUGCAGCUCUGGACCCUGGGACUUGGAAAGACUUCCUGAGCAAACUUGCUAUGUGAACCCACCUGACUCACUUCCUGCUCAGCUCCUCUAAGAAGGGCAAUCCAUCUGGUAGUCUGCUUGGCAGAGUUAUGGUGAUCUUCAUCUUUCAGAGUUCCUCUUUCUACAGCUCACCAGUGAGAGAAUGAUGGAGUGGAAGCCAUAGGAACUACAGGGAGAAAUGGAAGAGAAGCAGAAUGUGCCAGGAGCAGUCUGGUCUCUUUGGUGUUUUAGAAAGUUGACCACAGCGCAGAGUCAGGCAAGCAGCACCCUACUGGGGACCCACAAUGGAUCCUGGCCUAUGCCAUUUUAUGUACCCUACUGGGAAGAGGGAUGAGUUCUGCUGGGGAGCCUCCUCUUGCUACAGAUGGCCCUACUGUGAGGUAGGCCGAGGAUUUCCAAUGACCUCUUUGUCCAACAUCUUGCUCAUGGAAGCUGUAUUUGUUCACUUUUCUGACCAAGUACCAGAUUUUACCCUCCAACUGAGGAUGUGCCAGGAGCUUUCACUGUCCUGGAGGGGAGGAGGAUGAGGAGGUUCCAAAA
This is a non-coding RNA of Heterocephalus glaber (naked mole-rat), 1010 nucleotides long. NCBI's taxonomy places the organism in Eukaryota, Metazoa, Chordata, Mammalia, Rodentia, Bathyergidae. The record is from RefSeq and is a predicted model, not a curated record.